This is a long non-coding RNA of Cryptomeria japonica (Japanese cedar), 777 nucleotides long. RefSeq lists it as uncharacterized. Lineage: Eukaryota; Viridiplantae; Streptophyta; Pinopsida; Cupressales; Cupressaceae. The transcript is spliced from 2 exons. The record is from RefSeq and is a predicted model, not a curated record.
UAGCUCAGGAAUAUCCAAAUGUCUUGCUUACCGUAGAAAGACUGAAAUUUGAUAAAGAGUGCAGCGGUGGGUAACGUGAGGGGGCUACCAUAAACAGUGAUUAAACCAGUUUUUAAUAAUGAAUAGAAUCCUUUCAUUAUCUUGUGCCACAUUUUAUCCUAAUCUUUCAUAUAGGAAACCGAUCAAAUUUUAAUUAUUGACUAUCAAAAGUUAAUUUUGUGGGUUUUUGGUUGGAGGAUAUAGAGGCUUCACAUUUCACACGACUAUUCAAGAGAGUUGGCUGACAAAACAGGCAUGCUGGAGCUUUCAUUCCUAGGGUUUAGCAAUUGUGCAGGAGACUGCAGGUAAUAAAUCAUGGUGGCUAGGUGGCAUGUGCAAUGCAAUUCACGUGCCUUGUCUCUGUUAUCACAGUUUGCAUAUAUGCAAGGGAGCUCAUGAAUAUAUUGAAGCAAUAUAUUUGGGAAGGAUUAUUUUGUUUCCUGUGAACUUUACCCAUUUUUUCUCAUCAGUAUUGUUGAUACAAUUUGUGAAGAAUCUUGAGGUGUCCCAAAAAGAUGGAAUGCAAUAGGCAAGAUCGUACAAGUUCACACGAGCAUAUAAGAAAAUGGUAGCACCUGUCAAUUCUACUAAGCACAUUUAGAUUUGUAGCAUAUCCUAUUGAUUCUAUGAUGUCCAUAAAAGAUAACGAAACAUUGAGAAUAAAUAUGAAUGCUUUUAUUUUGUAGAAUUUGCAUAGAUAUGCUACCAUUGCAUUAAUACACAUGUUUUGAUUUUGUA